RNAcentral lists this ribosomal RNA (496 nucleotides) under uncultured bacterium. RNAcentral describes it as "partial 16S ribosomal RNA". It matches the Rfam family "Bacterial small subunit ribosomal RNA", at positions 30 to 523 of the family's 1533-position model. The record is from RNAcentral.
AUUGAACGCUGGCGGCAGGCCUAACACAUGCAAGUCGAGCGGUAACAGGGGAGCUUGCUCCUGCUGACAAGCGGCGGACGGGUGAGUAAAGUAUGGGGAUCUGCCUGAUGGUGGGGGAUAACUACUGGAAACGGUGGCUAAUACCGCAUAACGUCUUCGGACCAAAGGGGGCGCAAGCUCUCGCCGUCAGAUGAACCCAUAUGGGAUUAGCUAGUUGGUGAGGUAAUGGCUCACCAAGGCGACGAUCUCUAACUGGUCUGAGAGGAUGACCAGUCACACGGGGACUGAGACACGGCCCAGACUCCUACGGGAGGCAGCAGUGGGGAAUAUUGGACAAUGGGGGCAACCCUGAUCCAGCCAUGCCGCGUGUGUGAAGAAGGCCUUCGGGUUGUAAAGCACUUUCAGUGGGGAGGAAGGGUGUAGUGCUAAUACCACUAUGCAUUGACGUUACUCACAGAAGAAGCACCGGCUAACUCCGUGCCAGCAGCCGCGGUAA